AUAUAAUAAAAGUAGACUUAACAAAAAAAGCAGGUUGCAUUUAAUCUUUAUUUUCAAAAUUGAAAGCAUGAAACUAGAUUUGUACAUACAUAAAGCAUUUCAAACACUGAAACAAAGAUGAAGAACAUUUGUUGAUGUGGUUACGUUCUCUUUUUCUCUUUCUCAGUGGGAAAAGUCAGAGGAACACCAAAAGGAAUAACCACCACUUUGUAUAUUCUCUCCUAAAAUCAUCCAUCUUACCAUCACACAAGUACUAAUCGACAUUUAUUGUCCUAUACUAUUUCAAUUCCUGCCUUUUCAUUCAAACAUUAAAGCACUUGUGGUAUUAACAGUUAAAAAGACUUGCAUUUUUAUUUAAUUAUAAUUGAAUAAAGUGCACUCAUGAGAAAAAAAAAAAUUACAGUUGUGUCAACCAAAAUAUUUUUACGCACUAGUUCAUUUCGAGUUUGCAUAUCUGCAAAAGCCACCUGCAACAAAGGCGAGACCAUGUGUGAAAACUGGGUGAGCUACCAUAUGGCAUCGAGUGACUCACGUUUUUUUUAUACCCAUAAUCCACCCCUUUCACAUAAUUAGUACUCCUCUUCGAGAUCGUCGUCCAGGUCAGAAAAGUCAAUAGAUGGUCUGUUGUCUCGCGUCUCCUCGUCACCUUCCCCAUGGGGAACUGCAAUCCAGACACAUUAAGUCAAAUUAUGUAGCCACAUGAUAAAUAUAAAAAUGAACACACAAAAGGGUGAGCAAUCUACAUUAUACUACGGCUUUUUAUUGAUUUAUUUUAACACAUUUUAUUGAUUUUUGCCAAUAAAAAGA
This is a long non-coding RNA of Sander lucioperca (pikeperch), 807 nucleotides long. RefSeq lists it as uncharacterized. The record is from RefSeq and is a predicted model, not a curated record. Lineage: Eukaryota; Metazoa; Chordata; Actinopteri; Perciformes; Percidae. The transcript has 2 exons.